GGGAAAGUAGCUCAGUGGUAGAGUGCUUGUCUUGCAUGCAUGAGGCCCUGGGUUCGAUUCCUUAGCACCA
This 70-nucleotide transfer RNA is filed under the name Dipodomys ordii (Ord's kangaroo rat). It matches the Rfam family "tRNA". Rfam says of the family: Transfer RNA (tRNA) molecules are approximately 80 nucleotides in length. Their secondary structure includes four short double-helical elements and three loops (D, anti-codon, and T loops). Lineage: Eukaryota; Metazoa; Chordata; Mammalia; Rodentia; Heteromyidae. The record is from Rfam by way of RNAcentral.